CACACAGUUCUUGUGAGGAGCUAGAAAUUGAACCCAGGGCUUCAUGCAUCCCGAGCAAGCACACUACCAACUGAGCUGCGCACCCUGUUCCAGCACCCCAGAAUGGAACCGCCUUGUGAGCUCUCUUAGAACUGUGAACUGCACCUCCGCCUAAGGUCUGUCUGCACCCUUCCUGCAUCCCUUCCUUUAACUGGGCUCAGCCCCUUUUUGGUGUCGGCUGGUUCUUCCCCCCAUUUGUCGUUUCAAUCUCCUUCACAGACAUUGUGUCUGAUAAAUCCUAUGCAUGUAUGGAAGUCAAAUCCCCAAAUAUCACCAACAAAGGAAAGCAUAUUUAUACUUACCAUUGUAUGAGAGAUCUGCGACCUUAAGAGAGCUGAGGUGGUGCUGCAAAGGAGCAAGAGCAAGGUCUGAGCUUCUUGAGAUUCUAGGAGGGGAAGAUGGAUAUGCUAUCUUAGUAUUUUAAGACUAAUGGAAACACCAAGGAAAGAUGGUUAAACCAGGGUCUGAAGAAUACAGAACAGACGCUGCUGGUUUCUAUUAAAGAGCAAGGUCUCAACAUGCAACCUAUGGUAUGAAGACAACACUGUAGUCUUCACUGGACCGCUGGGAUCACAGAUCCAGAUAUAUAGAGAACUCUGCUCCUUCUGCAGCACCACGUCUGCCUGUAUGCCACCAUGCUUCCUACUAUGCUGACAAUGGACUACUCCUCUGUACUGUAAGCCAGCCACAAUCAAUUGGUUUCCUUUAUAAGAGCUGCCAUGGCCAUGGUGUCUCUCCACAGCAACAGAAACCCUAAGACCUGCCCAGCACUGGGAUUGCGGGCCUGCCCUGCUGGCUUUUCUCAGAGAUGAUGAGGAGUCCGGCUCGGAUCCUCAAGCUUGUGUAACAAGCACAAACCUUUACACACUGGGCCAUCACCCGGUCCCCUGUGAUACCAUUUUGCAAGAAAUUACAACUGGGGGAAAUUGGGCGAAAGGUAUUUGGGAUCACUUUGUACUUCCUUCUUUCUCUUUUUUCUUCUUUUUUUUCUUUGUGAUAAUCUCACAUUUCCCUGUAAAUCUACAGUUAGUUCAAAACAA
This is a non-coding RNA of Myodes glareolus (Bank vole), 1079 nucleotides long. The record is from RefSeq and is a predicted model, not a curated record. Lineage: Eukaryota; Metazoa; Chordata; Mammalia; Rodentia; Cricetidae.